GAUGAACGCUGGCGGCGUCCCUAACACAUGCAAGUCGAGCGAUCUUUCUUCGGAAGAGAGCGGCGGACGGGUGAGUAAACGCGUGGGUAACCUGCCCUGUACACACGGAUAACAUACCGAAAGGUAUGCUAAUACGGGAUGACAUAUGAAAGUCGCAUGGCUUUUAUAUCAAAGUUCCGGCGGUACAGGAUGGACCCGCGUCUGAUUAGCUAGUUGGUAAGGUAACGGCUUACCAAGGCGACGAUCAGUAGCCGACCUGAGAGGGUGAUCGGCCACACUGGAACUGAGACACGGUCCAGACUCCUACGGGAGGCAGCAGUGGGGAAUAUUGCACAAUGGGCGAAAGCCUGAUGCAGCAACGCCGCGUGAGCGAUGAAGGCCUUCGGGUCGUAAAGCUCUGUCCUCAAGGAAGAUAAUGACGGUACUUGAGGAGGAAGCCCCGGCUAACUACGUGCCAGCAGCCGCGGUAAUACGUAGGGGGCUAGCGUUAUCCGGAAUUACUGGGCGUAAAGGGUGCGUAGGCGGUCUUUCAAGCCAGAAGUGAAAGGCUACGGCUCAACCGUAGUAAGCUUUUGGAACUGUAGGACUUGAGUGCAGGAGAGGAGAGUAGAAUUCCUAGUGUAGCGGUGAAAUGCGUAGAUAUUAGGAGGAAUACCAGUAGCGAAGGCGGCUCUCUGGACGUAACUGACGCUGAGGCACGAAAGCGUGGGGAGCAAACAGG
This 721-nucleotide ribosomal RNA is filed under the name uncultured bacterium. RNAcentral's name for it is "bacterial SSU rRNA". It matches the Rfam family "Bacterial small subunit ribosomal RNA", at positions 28 to 776 of the family's 1533-position model. The record is from RNAcentral.